Molecule: ribosomal RNA, 253 nt
Filed under: uncultured bacterium
Lineage: Bacteria
Description: partial 16S ribosomal RNA
Rfam family: Bacterial small subunit ribosomal RNA
Source: RNAcentral
UACGUAGGAUGCAAGCGUUGUUCGGAAUUACUGGGCGUAAAGAGUACGUAGGCGGUGACAUAAGUCUGAAAUUAAAGACAGAAGCUCAACUUCUGGAAUGUAUCGGAAACUGUGUUACUAGAGGAUAGUAGAGGAAGUCGGAAUUCUCAGUGUAGCGGUGAAAUGCGUAGAUAUUGGGAAGAACACCAGUGGCGAAAGCGGACUUCUGGGCUAUUAUUGACGCUGAGGUACGAAAGUGUGGGGAGCAAACGGG